Molecule: ribosomal RNA, 490 nt
Filed under: uncultured bacterium
Lineage: Bacteria
Description: partial 16S ribosomal RNA
Rfam family: Bacterial small subunit ribosomal RNA
Source: RNAcentral
GAUGAACGCUAGCUACAGGCUUAACACAUGCAAGUCGCGGGGCAGCAUGGGGGUUGCUUGCAAUCCCCGAUGGCGACCGGCGCACGGGUGAGUAACGCGUAUCCAACCUGCCCUUCACCACGGGAUAACCCGGCGAAAGUCGGACUAAUACCGUAUGUUGUCCAUUGACGGCAUCCGAUUUGGACGAAAGGCUUGGCGGUGAGGGAUGGGGAUGCGUCCGAUUAGCCAGACGGCGGGGUAACGGCCCACCGUGGCUACGAUCGGUAGGGAUUCUGAGAGGAAGGUCCCCCACACUGGAACUGAGGCACGGUCCAGACUCCUACGGGAGGCAGCAGUGAGGAAGAUUGGUCAAUGAGCGUAAGCCUGAACCAGCCAAGUAGCGUGCAGGAUGACGGCCCUAUGGGUGGUAAACUGCUUUUAUGCGGGGAUAAAGUGGCCCACGUGUGGGCUUUUGCAGGUACCGCAUGAAUAAGGACCGGCUAAUUCCGUG